CCGAUUUUAGCGAGCCUGACCAUCGGUCAUGGUUUCGCGAAAACUGUAUUUAAAACCCCACUCAUAUAAAAUGUAUCAUUAUUUGUACGUAAAUAAGUAAAGA
RNAcentral lists this unclassified non-coding RNA (103 nucleotides) under uncultured Glomeromycotina. RNAcentral's name for it is "sequence contains ITS1". The record is from RNAcentral. Lineage: Eukaryota; Fungi; Glomeromycota.